Long non-coding RNA from Zonotrichia leucophrys gambelii, 388 nucleotides. RefSeq lists it as uncharacterized. The transcript is spliced from 2 exons. The record is from RefSeq and is a predicted model, not a curated record. Lineage: Eukaryota; Metazoa; Chordata; Aves; Passeriformes; Passerellidae.
CAUGUUCACAACACCAGGUGCAGCAAGUUAAGAAUUGUUUCUUAUUAUUUUCUCUGAUCUUCUCACAGCCUUUCCCAGACUGAAGCCUGGGAAAGUUGUGUUUCUUCCUGUGGCCAGAGAGCUGCUGCCACACUGGAUGAAAUAGAGAAGUACAAGCUUUGUUCAGCGGAGUGUUAAUUUGGGUUCCAGUGGCUCACACAGGAAUGAGAAAAGCUGCAAGCACAAUGCAUCAGGAGAGAUCCAGAGGUACAAUGCUAUGUUAGAGAUUUGGUGGAGACAUGUGCCCUGAAGAUCCAGGGAGGACUGCAUGGAGUCUGUUGCAGAAGGGGAGACAAUGAAAGCUGGUGGACUAAAAUAAAAUCUGUCCUUGUGUAGGAAAGAAGAAAAA